RNAcentral lists this transfer RNA (88 nucleotides) under Bacteroidota bacterium. RNAcentral's name for it is "tRNA-Ser". It matches the Rfam family "tRNA". Rfam says of the family: Transfer RNA (tRNA) molecules are approximately 80 nucleotides in length. Their secondary structure includes four short double-helical elements and three loops (D, anti-codon, and T loops). Further hydrogen bonds mediate the characteristic L-shaped molecular structure. tRNAs have two regions of fundamental functional importance: the anti-codon, which is responsible for specific mRNA codon recognition, and the 3' end, to which the tRNAs corresponding amino acid is attached (by aminoacyl-tRNA synthetases). tRNAs cope with the degeneracy of the genetic code in two manners: having more than one tRNA (with a specific anti-codon) for a particular amino acid; and 'wobble' base-pairing, i.e. permitting non-standard base-pairing at the 3rd anti-codon position. The record is from RNAcentral. RNAcentral also lists the same sequence under 2 other names. Lineage: Bacteria; Pseudomonadati; Bacteroidota.
GGAGAAAUGGCAGAGUGGUCGAUCGCGGCGGUCUUGAAAACCGUUGUACCGUGAGGUACCGGGGGUUCGAAUCCCUCUUUCUCCGCCA